GUCUACGGCCAUGCCAUCCUGAACGUGCCUGAACUCGCCAGAUCUCGGAAGCUAAGCAGGGUCGGGCCUGGUUAGUAUUUGGAUGGGAGACCACCUAGGAAGACCAGGUGCUGUAGGUA
RNAcentral lists this ribosomal RNA (119 nucleotides) under Pteropus alecto (black flying fox). Lineage: Eukaryota; Metazoa; Chordata; Mammalia; Chiroptera; Pteropodidae. The record is from RNAcentral.